This 386-nucleotide unclassified non-coding RNA is filed under the name soil metagenome. RNAcentral's name for it is "partial contains 5.8S ribosomal RNA, internal transcribed spacer 2, and large subunit ribosomal RNA". The stretch from base 3 to 119 matches the Rfam family "5.8S ribosomal RNA", at positions 38 to 154 of the family's 154-position model. The record is from RNAcentral.
GAGAAGAACGUAGCGAAAUGCGAUAAGUAAUGUGAAUUGCAGAAUUCAGUGAAUCAUCGAAUCUUUGAACGCACCUUGCACCCUUUGGUAUUCCGAAGGGUAUGCUCGUUUGAGUGUCAUUGUACUCUCACACUUCUAAUUCCUUUCGGGAUUGGGAGCGGUGGACUUGGGUGUUGCUGCUUUAGUUGUGGCUCACCUCAAAUAAGUUAGUGCAACUCUUGGUUGGACAUAGUACGGCGUGAUAAGUGUCUUCGCCGGCGCCUCUGUAAGGAGGGUGGCCGAUCGGGAGCUCUGUGCUUCAAACCGUCUUCGGACAAUCUUUGACAACUUGACCUCAAAUCGAGUAGGACUACCCGCUGAACUUAAGCAUAUCAAUAAGCGGAGGA